UACAGAGGUCCCAAGCGUUGUUCGGAUUCACUGGGCGUAAAGGGUGCGUAGGUGGUGGGGUAAGUCUGAUGUGAAAUCUCCGAGCUUAACUCGGAAAUGGCAUUGGAAACUACCUUGCUAGAGGUUUGGAGGGGAGACUGGAAUUCUUGGUGUAGCAGUGAAAUGCGUAGAUAUCAAGAGGAACACCGGUGGCGAAAGCGAGUCUCUGGACAAAUCCUGACACUGAGGCACGAAAGCUAGGGGAGCAAACAGG
RNAcentral lists this ribosomal RNA (253 nucleotides) under uncultured bacterium. Its description in RNAcentral is "partial 16S ribosomal RNA". It matches the Rfam family "Bacterial small subunit ribosomal RNA", at positions 524 to 776 of the family's 1533-position model. The record is from RNAcentral.